CGAAAUGCGAUAAGUAAUGUGAAUUGCAGAAUUCAGUGAAUCAUCGAAUCUUUGAACGCACAUUGCGCCCGGCAGCAUUCUGCCGGGCAUGCCUGUUCGAGCGUCAUUUCAACCCUCGCGCUCCCUUUGGGGAGCACGGCGUUGGGGACCGGCACUGCGCCGACCCCGAAAUGGAGUGGCGGCCCGUCCGCGGCGACCUCUGCGUAGUAACCACACCUCGCACCGGGACCCCGACGUGGCCUGCCUCUAAACAGCCCACUUUCUGAACGUUGACCUCGGAUCAGGUAGGAAUACCCGCUGAACUUAAGC
Molecule: unclassified non-coding RNA, 309 nt
Filed under: plant metagenome
Description: partial contains 5.8S ribosomal RNA, internal transcribed spacer 2, and large subunit ribosomal RNA
Rfam family: 5.8S ribosomal RNA (bases 1-106)
Source: RNAcentral